GAUGAACGCUGGCGGCGUGCCUAAUACAUGCAAGUCGAGCGAACAGACGAGGAGCUUGCUCCUCUGACGUUAGCGGCGGACGGGUGAGUAACACGUGGAUAACCUACCUAUAAGACUGGGAUAACUUCGGGAAACCGGAGCUAAUACCGGAUAAUAUAUUGAACCGCAUGGUUCAAUAGUGAAAGACGGUUUUUGUGUCACUUAUAGAUGGAUCCGCGCCGCAUUAGCUAGUUGGUAAGGUAACGGCUUACCAAGGCAACGAUGCAUAGCCGACAUAAGAGGGAAGUCAGCCAAAUCAGAGCUGAAACACGGUGCAUACUCCUACGGGAGGCAGCAGUAGGGAAUCUUCCGCAAUGGGCGGAAGCCUGACGGAGCAGCGCGGCGUGAGUCAUGAAGUUCUUCGGAUCGUAAAACUCUGUUAUUAGGGAAGAACAAAUGUGUAAGUAACUAUGCGCGUCUUGACGGUACCUAAUCAGAAAGCCACGGCUAACUACGUG
RNAcentral lists this ribosomal RNA (497 nucleotides) under uncultured bacterium. Its description in RNAcentral is "partial 16S ribosomal RNA". It matches the Rfam family "Bacterial small subunit ribosomal RNA", at positions 28 to 507 of the family's 1533-position model. The record is from RNAcentral.